GAUGAACGCUGGCGGCGUGCCUAACACAUGCAAGUCGAGCGAACAGACGAGGAGCUUGCUCCUCUGACGUUAGCGGCGGACGGGAGAGUAACACGUGGAUAACCUACCUAUAAGACUGGGAUAACUUCGGGAAACCGGAGCUAAUACCGGAUAAUAUAUUGAAUCGCAUGGUUCAAUAGUGAAAGUCGGUUUUUCUGUCACUUAUAGAUGGAACCGCGCCGCAUUAGCUAGUUGGUAAGGUAACGGCUUACCAAGGGGGCGAUGCGUAGCCGACCUAGGAGGGUGAUCGGCAGCAGGGGAGCUAGGAAGCGGACCAACCUCGGACGGGAGACAGGGGUAGGAAACCUACGGGAGGGAGCGGAGGCGUACCGGGGCAACGCGGCGAGAGUGAGAAAGAUCUACGGAGCGUAAAACACUGUUAUUUGAGGAGAACAAUGUGUAAGUACCUAUGCACAUCUUGACGGUACCUGAUCAAAAAGCCACGGCUAACUACGUG
Molecule: ribosomal RNA, 496 nt
Filed under: uncultured bacterium
Lineage: Bacteria
Description: partial 16S ribosomal RNA
Rfam family: Bacterial small subunit ribosomal RNA
Source: RNAcentral